GUUUUAUUAUAUUCAAUCUGAUGGUAAAAUAACCCAGCAAAUUGUUCAUCUUAUAUACUAUACUUUUUAGUUCUAUGAAUUUCCAGGAAAUGUUUAUAAUUUUAAUUUCUUUAUUGAGAUUCAUGUGUCAUAAUGUGUGUGUGUUUGUUUUGUUUUACAUUUUAAUUUUUAAUUGUAUGCAUGUUAUGUAUGUUUAAAUGUAUGUGUAUGGAUGUUUUGGCUGAGGGAAUGUCUUUGUACCAUUUACAUGCCUGGUGCUCAAAGAGACCCAAAGAACCCUCUGGAAUUGGAGUUACAGAUAGUUAUGGCUGCUGUAUGGGGGUUGAGAAUCUAACCCAGCUCGUCUUAAUCUCUGAGGCAUCUCUCCUGCCUCUGUAAUGUGUCUUCUUUAGAUGCUUGCAUAGGAUUCUUUCAAUAGCUGUGAAGUCCUCCUUGGCUCAUUCCUUCAGACAGUGGGCCUUUGUGAGAUCAGUUUCCUUUGACUUUUAACUGUCACUUUUUCAUGUUUUGUUACCCAUAUAAUUUUUUCUCUUUAAACAUUUUAUAAAUAUAUGAAUAAUAGGUUGUAAAGACUGGAGUCUGUUGUCUUCUCUGAGUUCUCUUUAAAAGGAAGUUGAAUUAUCAUCUGUUUGGACUUUGUAUGAUAUGAACCUCACCUCUGCCCUGGCCCACUCUGGUCUGACUCCUGCUUUAUUCUGUCAUGCACAUAUGUGCAGGGGUUUUGUCAUUUGUUUGUUUUGUUUUGUUAUUGUUUUGGCUUGGGUUUAUUUGGGGUAGGUGCUUUAUUUCAGUUUUCUUAUAUAAUAUAUGUAUAUGAAAACAUAUAAACGUAGACACAUUGAUGGAGAUAGAGAAGUGCUAGGGAUCUAACUCAAAGUCAUAUAUAGAUGUAUAUGCUAAGCAUAUGCUCUAUCAAAGAGAUACUUUUUGUUUUCAGUUUAUAAUUUUUAAUUUCAGAAGAGUUAGUCUUUUGGGUUCUUUUUUUUUUGUUUUGUUUUGCUUUAUUGUUUAUUUCUUGUUUUUCAAGACAGGGUUUCUCUUUGUAACAGCCUUAGCUGUCCUGGAACUCACUUUGUAGACAAAGCUGGCCUCAAACUCACAGAGAUCCAUCUACCUCCAUCUCCCAAGGGCAGGGACUAGAGGUGUGCACUACUGCUGCAAAUCUCUGUUACUGCUAGAAUGGAAUUUCACUGAAUUCUUCAAUUUUGCAGGCUCGCUUAAUGGCAGGACUUUAUGAGUACUGUUUCUUUGCCUACAUCUAUUUUGGGGGCUUGGAGAUUAAAGCCAGAACCAUCUACAUGCCAAACAAGAAUUGUACCACUGAGUCACAUUUUUGGCAACGUCUGCAGAUUUAUACACACCCUUCCCUCUGUCCUAUCUCUCACUGACUAGCUUCUGACACUCUGGUCUUCAGAUACUAGUCACUUAGUGAAGUUACUCAGGAUUUCUUUCUUCCUGUGUUUUGUUUCCUUAGAUGUGUGUGUGUGUGUGUGUGUGUGUGUG
RNAcentral lists this long non-coding RNA (1503 nucleotides) under Mus musculus (house mouse). RNAcentral's name for it is "long non-coding RNA chr2:104649959-104651462". Lineage: Eukaryota; Metazoa; Chordata; Mammalia; Rodentia; Muridae. The record is from RNAcentral.